AGUAGGAGUCGGAGGGUGACUGGGAGACCAACCUUUGGCGCAACUGCUCGGGCCCAGCCAGUUACCAGGGCCAGCAUCGCCUCCAGGUCCCCCAGUGUCUGUGCGGAGAGGGUCUGUCAGCAGCUCAAAUGCCUUUCACACUGAUGGAAACCUGGCCCCUUAGCUGGACAGAGUCCAGUGUCCAGGAGUGACUGGGCUGGCAAGGGGCUCCUCCAAAGGUGGAUUCUUUACCAGCUGAGCCACAAGGGUAGCCUACUCCAGCAGAUCCCUUCUCUAGCAAAUCUUCCCAACCUGGGAAUUGAACUGGUCUCUCCUGCAUUGCAGGCAGAUUCUUUACCAGCUGACCUACCAG
This is a long non-coding RNA of Bos taurus (domestic cattle), 352 nucleotides long. NCBI's taxonomy places the organism in Eukaryota, Metazoa, Chordata, Mammalia, Artiodactyla, Bovidae. The record is from Ensembl.